GCCAAACAGGUUAUCAGAAAUGCUAGAGAAACAGAAGAAGAUGAGAAGAUUCUAUUCCUUCCUACAUCUCUGAUGUUGGCAUAGUGACAGGGCUUUAGGCUUCACCUCUGGAGUCCAGAUGAGGGUCCAGAGUUCAGUGAUUCCCAUGAAACAUUCCUCCAAUAUUGAAGAGGGGCCCUCACAAGACUGCAG
Molecule: long non-coding RNA, 192 nt
Organism: Hemicordylus capensis (graceful crag lizard)
Lineage: Eukaryota; Metazoa; Chordata; Lepidosauria; Squamata; Cordylidae
Exons: 3
Source: RefSeq, a predicted model, not a curated record